Molecule: long non-coding RNA, 307 nt
Filed under: Hordeum vulgare
Lineage: Eukaryota; Viridiplantae; Streptophyta; Magnoliopsida; Poales; Poaceae
Description: long non-coding RNA (HVUL_LNC009533)
Source: RNAcentral
AGACGAAGGAGCAGAAGUAGUAGAAGAAGAAGAAGAGAAAGAGGAGAAGAGGAGAAGAAAACGAAAAAGGAAGAAGAAGAAGAAGAAGUAGUAGUAGUAGUAGUAGUAGUAGUAGUAGUAGUAGUAGUAGUAGUAGUAGUAGUAGAAGAAUAAGAAGAACAUGAAAAAGAAUAAGAAGAAGAAGAAGAAGNAGAAGAAGAAGAAGAAGACGAAGAAGAAGAGGAGAAUAGGAGAAAAAGAGGAAAAAGAGGAAAAAGAGGAGAAGAGGAGAAAUAAGAAGAAAAGGAGGAGGAGAAGAAGAAGAGGA